CUCAUCCUCAUCUGGUCCAAAACCAGCAAAGCGAAACAAUACUUCCUGAAAUGACCAGCAUCAUCAGGACAUAUGAGGAGAAGAAGGAAGUAGCUCUAAAAACUUAAAACCAGAGCAUUGUAAGAUUCAGUUAAGCAUCCUAAUUUCUCGCAUAAAGAUCAGUGUUAGAAUCCUUGUAAUUAUUAGGUGUAUCAGUAAUUAUAGGAAACCUAUGUAAUUAGAAUCCCUGUAAUUAGCCAGGUCUUUAUUUAGCUUCCUUUUAUGUUUGUAAUUAACCCUAUAUGAAUAGGGAACCUUGUAUAUGUUUAAACACAUAAGAAAUAGAGAUUUUUUUCACCAAAUUUACUGUUCUCAACAUGGUAUCAGAGCACAACCAAAUUUUUGGCAUGAAAUUUCUUGAACAGUUCACCACCCACCUCAAACUGCAGCCCACUCGCCGAUCUGCACUUUCUCGGCGGAAGCGCCGUCGUCCGGCCAUUUGCAUGAGUACACGUACCUUGUUUGUCCCUAGCGUCUCUCACAUGCGUUGGCGCGUGGGGCAUUUUUUGGCGACCUUUUCCGGCCGAAUCCUCUUUCGACAGCCUCACUCGUGUGCUGCGACCCUGUUCAACCUAUUACUCUUUGCUAGUUUGCUUUUGUUCAUUGUUCAACCUUUUGUUUGGUACUGCUCCUGUGAGGAUCCUACUGUGAGAACAAUUUUACCAUAGUCGGUGUAUUUUUUUACUUGUUCCCUUUUAAAAUAUGGCUGAUGGAAAGAGAGUGGAUUCAAAAAAUAAUUUUGAAAAUCCCUCUCUGCAAAUUAGUCUUGUGAAGCUUGAUGGAGCCAACUAUCUUGUUUGGUCAAGGUCUUGUCUUUUGUUUAUCCAGGCUAGAGGACUAUAGGAGUAUCUUACCUGAGAUGAGAAUAAACCAGACACUUCGACUUCUACCUACAGUCUGUGGGAGUCAGAAAACUCUCUUAUCAUGUCAUGGCUCAUCAAUUCCUUGCAACCACAUAUAGCUCGUGUGUAUUUGCUGUUGGAUAGUGCAACUACCAUUUGGAGUGCUAUUUCCUAGACCUAUUCUCAAGUUGGGAAUGAUGCAUAAGUUUAUGAGCUUAGGAACAAGG
Molecule: unclassified non-coding RNA, 1108 nt
Filed under: Hevea brasiliensis (rubber tree)
Lineage: Eukaryota; Viridiplantae; Streptophyta; Magnoliopsida; Malpighiales; Euphorbiaceae
Source: RNAcentral